GAUGAACGCUGGCGGCGUGCCUAACACAUGCAAGUCGAGCGGAAGGACGCUAAGCUUGUGCUUUUGAUGUUAGCGGCGGGCGGGUGAGUAACGCGUGGAUAGUACACUUAUAUGUCGGGGAAGAUCACGGAAAACCGGAUAUAAUACCAGAGAAUAUUCUGAACCGCAGGGUGCAAAGGUAAGAGACGGCUUUGGUGAUAGGAAUAGCUGGUUCCGGGCUGGAUUAGCUGGUUGGUAAGGUCACGGCCUACCAAGGCAACGAUGCGUAGCCGGGCUGAGAGGGUGAUCGGCCACACUGGAACUGAGACACGGUCCAGACUCCUACGGGAGGCAGCAGUAGGGAAUCUUCCGCAAUGGGCGAAAGCCUGACGCAGCAACGCCGCGUGAGUGAUGAAGGUCUUCGGUUCGUAAAGCCCUGUUAUUGGGGAAGAACAGCUGUGGGCGUAGAUGUGCACUUCUUGACGGUACCUAAUCAAAAAGCACCGGCUAACUACGUG
This 497-nucleotide ribosomal RNA is filed under the name uncultured bacterium. RNAcentral's name for it is "partial 16S ribosomal RNA". It matches the Rfam family "Bacterial small subunit ribosomal RNA", at positions 28 to 507 of the family's 1533-position model. The record is from RNAcentral.